GCUGUAGUUUGUAUUAAGAAUUUGGAAAAGUUUAACAAGUUGAAGUCUAAAAAAUAAGUUUUAGGUUGGUCAUACUACUUUUAAACAUUGACGAAAACAUGCUCUAUCAUAGAAUCAUCAAUAUAUCGUAAACAUCGAUGCUAAGUCGACAGAUGGCUGAGCUGUCAGUUAAGAAUUGACCCAUUGUAGAGCAAACAGCUCAGUGCUGUCGCUCUAAAUCAGAGGGUUAAACUAAGCAAUAUUCGUUUUCAUGAGUCUGGCACUUUAGCCUUUCGCCGCCCUGUAGUUAAUGUUCUGCAAGACUCUGUUGAGAUCAUCGUAACUUAAGUCUUAAAAUCUGAAAUCAGAAUAUGCCUAAGUAGAGCUGAACCACAUCAGUGAAAAAGGAAUCCAUGUUCAUAUUUUUACUAACAUUUCAUAUUUUAUGUAUUUAGGAAAUAAUGUAGGAACUAAUCACCAUAGUAAUUGGGGCUCAAGACAAGGGCUUCACAAAGAAAGUAGUAGCAGUGAAGGAAGUCCAACCAAUGGCCAUCGAUACAUUCCAAAUUACUCAUCGCAAGAAGAGAGUUACGUACAGACAUAUCCAAAAAUAGUUUCUCAUUCUAACAAUGACCUCAGGUCGCAGGAAAUUCUCUCCAGACGAGCCUCGAUCCUCGGCAGGCGCGCAGCCUCUAGAACCUCAAACAUAAUGUCAGCCGUAAUGCAUCUGGUAUCGGAACUGGACUACUCGGAUUUAGUCGUUCUCGAGGCAGCCAUCCGAAGUAGACUCGAUAAAAUGGAUCAAGACUCAGGAGAAUGAAACUGCCUGAAUGGUCGCACUUUUGUCCGACAGUGGCUUUGAAUCUUGAGGAUAUUCUAGAUUCUCAUACUUCCUCCCUUGUCUUGCCAGCACUUGUUUUCGUUUAAGUUAUCUAGUGUUUGAAGAUGCUUUCAAACAUAAGUUGAGAUGAAAUCGCAACAGAAAGGCUUUUUGCUCCAGCCGUACCAGCCCAAAAGGAACUUAUAUGGAAGGGCUUAUUGUAUUCUUCCAAGUCAUCCUGUUUGAUGUAAUGUUUUUUUUUGCAACUCUUUAAGAGCUCUGAAUGUAUUCCCAAAGUGAAAGCUCUUAUAUCAAGGCUUUAUAACCUGAUGUAAUUGAAUUGAUAACAUGUGACUGUAUACAGAAAAGAGGCCCUUGUGUUCAGAGGUAAAUUUCUAAAGAUAAAAUAGUAAAUUUUCUCAAGUCUGACUGAGGAGUCCAGAUGUGCGUUUUCCAUUAGAAAAAUACGUGCAAGUCCCUAAGAAUAAGAAAAUGGAGUAAAAAAUCAACCAAUUUUCAGUCUGAAGCAUGAAUGGUGAAAGCUCUAGUAAUUUUUUCAUGAAACCAUGGUUUUUAGAUAGCUAACUUUAUAUCCUCACAAUGUUGGUUUGAUUUGACUCGACUUUUUGGGAUUUUUAUUGCACAGAACUGUUUAUGAAACAAUGCAACUUAAUUUUGUUAUUAUGUGAUAAUAAUGUUUUCUAUGACUGCUUGAGCACAAUGAACUUUUUAAAUUGCUUGUGCCAAUGUCGAGAAAAGUGGAUUUUUUGGCAUUUUUACAAACGUUUCCUUUUAGAGGUGUAGGACUUGAGCUGUGUGGUGAAAUUCAGGAGAAAAAACCGUGAAAAAAAUGUGUUGCAAAAUGGCUACUAAAUAAUUCGUGUAAAAAUGCGGGAAAAUUCACAAACCAACCCUGGUUCUCUUGAAAUUGGCACGGAGAAAGUUUGAUUCCAAAAAUCACAUUGUGCACUGGAAGUCGUUAAAGACAUCAUUUCAAAUAAUGAAGAAAUUUAGGCGGCGUCAAAAUCUUGUGGCAUUUUUUGCUGGGUCCCUUUAAGUACCUUGGCAUUAAGGUCUCUUUUCUCAUAUGUUAUUUUAUCUGAGAAGUAAAGCCCACUUGUGCUUAGCUGCCAUGAGUGUGAUAACUCUCUUUGGUUUCACUAGAAAUUUUGCCUUUUCAAAUGAAAAAUUCCCUAUGAUGCCCUCUUUUUAGCCAACAAGCACGGUAAAUGCAUGCUUUUCUGGCUCGCGAUUUCAACCGUUCCUUAGGAGGUGUCACAUUAUCAAAAAUUACUUUCCAGUUGUUUUUACCAGUUGACGUAACUUGUUCCAAAAUACUAUUGGUAUAGUAACAAAUCAACUAAUUAUUUAAAAAAAAAAUUGAUUUUGUUUCAUCUAUAGACCAGUCUUGAAAGGAUGGUUUUCAACAAAACUUCUGAAGAGUCAUAUCACCCCUGAAAGCCAUUGAAUAAAAAUAAUAUAAAAGAAAGCAUAUGUCUUAUUUUUAAAGGUUACCCUUUUUGACGUAUUUUAAAACAAUCAAUAUGCUGUUACAGGUUUUUUUAUUUUUAUUUCAUGUUUUGUCAAACUGAAGUAUCUAUUUAUUGCACCAAUUCGAAGGAAAGGAAAAAAGAAAACAACUUUAGAUUAUUGAAUUGUCAAGAGUAUACAAGUGAUGUGUAGUGUUAUAACAACGAAUUGGUCGUAACGAUGUGAUUUGGUCGGUCCUGCAGCUGAAAUCCCAUUCAUUCAAUGAAUUUAUGCAUCAGUUAAAACAAUCAAAUAAGGCUGGUCCUUAAGAAGUCGUUGUAUCUGAUUGCCACUGUCAUUUUCAAUUUCAUUUUACAUAUUUUUAUUAAUGGACUAUCGAAGGAAAAUUUCAAAUUUUAUUUAAAUAGACUGAGAGUAUUUUCUUUUCAUUUCUUGGGGAGGUGAUAAGAAUAAUUUAUUUUUAGUAAAAAUUUACCAGAGCAAAAUACAGAUAUUGCAUAUUACGCUAAGAUGAUCCUUUUCAGCUUAGAAGUAUGGCAUCCUAAACAAGGAUGUAGCCAAGCGCAAGUCAGAAAGCAACGUGUGCACGAAAUCUGUCUGUCAUGAAAGCAAUAUGCCCAACACUUUAGGUCCUUAUCGGUUUAGGCAGGACUUACUGAUAUAGCAAGCCAAAUUUCUGAAGAGUGUACCUCAGUGUUUUGUUUAAGAUGCUGUACAUUAAAAUUCCUACUCAAAUAUGGUUGCGCCCUAUUUGAAGAAUUUUAAAACUGCAAGGCAACUUUUAUACUUCAAAAGCAGGGAAAGCGGUAAAUUUGUCUAGAAUUUUCAGAAUGCAAUAAUUUGAUUCAAAACAUCUUUCAAAUUCGUCUGUAUUUUCAGUAACAUUUUAAUUUUUUUACACCGAACUAAUUAUUAGAACUAUAAGCAAUUAAUACUGUUAUUUUUGUG
Molecule: long non-coding RNA, 3238 nt
Filed under: Bemisia tabaci
Lineage: Eukaryota; Metazoa; Arthropoda; Insecta; Hemiptera; Aleyrodidae
Description: lncRNA ENSSSA3NGG001486
Source: RNAcentral